UGUGAUGUGUCACCAAUAGAAAAUAAACACACUAAUCAACACUUAAGUAAUAAUUCAAUCAUUAACAAUCAUGUCAUAUUUUUACAAAAUAUAGUUUAAAUAUAUGGUCUCCCUAGCAUUAUCAUAUGAAUAAACUAUGCCUUGUGUAUUCAAGUUACAUUCUGAAUGUGCCAGAGUUUCAAUCAAUGACAUGAAUCUCAAUUGAACUCAGUUUUGAGAAAAUUGCCUCGCACCUGAUAUCGGAAUUUGAGAUGAAAGAUCUUGGAACACUCAACGCUAUCUUGGCCUGAAGUUCAAAAUUAGUAAUAUUAUAUGUACUUGCAUUGUUUAGACGAUAUUCUAGUUCACCAGUCGAACUACACCAGAAGGUGUUGCCUACCCAUUAUCAUCUAUGCAUUAGAUGCAAAGGAGAUCUCUAAAGAGUAAAUGGAGCCUAAAGAUGCAGCACUACGCUACAUGCCACCAUUGAAUUAGUGAUAAAGACAUCGGCAUCUACUUGAGUAUUUACACACUCAAUGGAAGUAGUGUUGUUAAAAUUAUGACACAUGUGAUUGUAUAAAUUCUAAUAAAUUAUAAAUAGAAAUCCUAUGAGAUCUAAAAGAUCUUUUCUAUUA
This is a non-coding RNA of Malus domestica (apple), 614 nucleotides long. NCBI's taxonomy places the organism in Eukaryota, Viridiplantae, Streptophyta, Magnoliopsida, Rosales, Rosaceae. The record is from RefSeq and is a predicted model, not a curated record.